UGGAUUAGUGGCGAACGGGUGAGUAACACGUGAGUAACCUGCCCUCCACUUUGGGAUAACUCCGAGAAAUCGGGGCUAAUACUGGAUAUGACCUUGGCCCGCAUGGGUUGUGGUGGAAAGUUUUUCGGUGGGGGAUGGGCUCGCGGCCUAUCAGUUUGUUGGUGAGGUAGUGGCUCACCAAGGCGAUGACGGGUAACCGGCCUGAGAGGGCGACCGGCCACACUGGGACUGAGACACGGCCCAG
RNAcentral lists this ribosomal RNA (244 nucleotides) under uncultured Actinomycetales bacterium. Its description in RNAcentral is "partial 16S ribosomal RNA". It matches the Rfam family "Bacterial small subunit ribosomal RNA", at positions 88 to 334 of the family's 1533-position model. The record is from RNAcentral. Lineage: Bacteria; Bacillati; Actinomycetota; Actinomycetes; Actinomycetales.